Trichuris trichiura (human whipworm) is the source of this 72-nucleotide non-coding RNA. The record is from Rfam. Lineage: Eukaryota; Metazoa; Nematoda; Enoplea; Trichinellida; Trichuridae.
GCGUAGAUGGUGUAGCGGUUAGCAUGGUUGCCUUCCAAGCAAUCGAUCCGGGUUCGACUCCCGGUCUACGCA